This 245-nucleotide ribosomal RNA is filed under the name uncultured Gemmata sp. Its description in RNAcentral is "partial 16S ribosomal RNA". It matches the Rfam family "Bacterial small subunit ribosomal RNA", at positions 524 to 768 of the family's 1533-position model. The record is from RNAcentral. Lineage: Bacteria; Pseudomonadati; Planctomycetota; Planctomycetia; Gemmatales; Gemmataceae.
GACGAACCGUGCAAACGCUGUUCGGAAUCACUGGGCUUAAAGGGCGCGUAGGCGGGCGGCCAAGUCAGGGGUGAAAUCUUUCGGCUCAACCGGAAAAUUGCCUUUGAAACUGGCUGUCUCGAGGGAGGUAGGGGCAUGUGGAACUUCCGGUGGAGCGGUGAAAUGCGUUGAUAUCGGAAGGAACGCCGGUGGCGAAAGCGACGUGCUGGACCUCUUCUGACGCUGAGGCGCGAAAGCUAGGGGAG